CGGAGGAGCAUGUGGUUAAUUCGAUGAUACGCGAGGAACCUUACCUGGGCGUCGAACGUAAGAUGACUGUAGGUGAAAGCUUACAUCUCUUCGGAGCAUUUUACGAGGUGCUGCAUGGUUGUCGUCAGCUCGUGCCGUGAGGUGUCGGGUUAAGUCCCAUAACGAGCGCAACCCCUACCUUUAGUUGCCAUCAGGUUAAGCUGGGGACUCUAAAGGAACUGCCUACGCAAGUAGUGAGGAAGGCGGGGAUGACGUCAAAUCAGCACGGCCCUUACGUCCAGGGCUACACACGUGCUACAAUGGCCGAUACAGAGGGCAGCUACCUGGUGACAGGAUGCAAAUCUCCAAAGUCGGUCUCAGUUCGGAUCGGAGUCUGCAACCCGACUCCGUGAAGUUGGAUUCGCUAGUAAUCGCGCAUCAGCCAUGGCGCGGUGAAUACGUUCCCGGGCCUU
RNAcentral lists this ribosomal RNA (452 nucleotides) under uncultured Sphingobacteriales bacterium. RNAcentral describes it as "bacterial SSU rRNA". It matches the Rfam family "Bacterial small subunit ribosomal RNA", at positions 930 to 1382 of the family's 1533-position model. The record is from RNAcentral. Lineage: Bacteria; Pseudomonadati; Bacteroidota; Sphingobacteriia; Sphingobacteriales.